CUUCCGUUUGACCAGUGUGUGCAACGUGAGCUGGUGGAUUCAAAGAGAAAGUACAAGAGGACGUCAUUUUCGCGGUAAUAUCUCGCAACUAAUGUAACAGCAACAGCGCUCUGCAGAAGAAAAAAUACUCGAGUCGGAUUAUGAAAAUGUUUGUAAAAACAUGGCAACGUACGUUUUUAACCUUUUUAGCACUGUAUUGGACCUCUUUUAAGGCGAUGGUUUGCAGUGGAGUGAGAGGGGAACACUUUAAAAUCUAUAAUAAUUGGAUUUUUAUGGUGGCUUCUAAGAAUAGCCGGGAGAUUACUGUGCUGCUGUGGACAUGAUAACUCUGACGUUCAGCUCUCAGUUGAAGAAACAGCGCCAUCUCUUGGCGUAAGCACUGUAAGACCAUGGAAUUAUGGUAAAGGUGGAGGUAUUAUCAGGACAGUUUAGACAGAACACUUGGAUCAAGAUUAAGAAACGGCUUUAAGUUUAGCAUUUAUAAGAUGGAGGAUUGGCCCCCUUGAAAUCAUUGUUGCCCCAGCCACAUCUGUUGCAAAUUCCCGAGAGGAGCUGAUGUCAAGGUGGGGCAGAGUUACUGGCACUCUCACCCCAUUUUUAAAGAAGGAGUUCUCUGGACCUACAUUUGGUUUGGUCCAUGCAAAGCAGCAUUAGCAUAAUCUUAUCUAUUUAAUGGUAAUAGGGAGCCCUGCCACGUGUUGUCGCUAAGAUUUAAUUUGACCCACAGUGUUGAGAUUUUUAAUGUCAAAUGAAUUCAAUCACUCAUUCAUUCCUUCUUCAUCAUAAGCAAGAAUAUCAGGGCUGAUAUAUAGCACACAAUUGCGAGUGUGAUAUUCCUUUUAUACCAAAGUGCAAUAACAGUAUUUUUAAGACCAGUAAGUAAAAAUAUUUCUUCUUUCAAAGAAAAUAGUUCCAAAAGAAGCCAAAGGAUCAAGCUUCCAAAUUAUGCACAGGCUGAAUAUAAAUAAAUACUUUAUUGGAGUAUUUUCUUACUUCAUCAAACCAAAGUAUCUUACUUUUUGCACCACUACAUUUCAGAAAUAUUGUUCCUCACUCGUGCAUUUGAAGACAUAACAGUGAUGUCUGAUAGAAUCAUUCUGCUAAGUCUAUUCUUUUGAUGAACCUGUUGGUUCACAAAUCACACGGAACGAUUCAUUUAUGAAGUGGAGAGAUCCAAUUGCAGCUGUUCUCGACUCACUGAUUCCAACGAACCGGUCAAAUUGAGUCUCCAGUUAACAGCACACCAAAUUAGUCCUAUCUGACUCAAAAUGAGCCAAGAACAUGGGCAGAUUUAGUGCUCCUGGGGCCUGUACCAUGAAGUCGUAUUAGCUGGCUGACCAGGUAAGUUUCAGUCUUUUUUACACCAAUCCUGGGUUUUAGGUACCAUGAAAGUUGCUUGGCUUUUUGCAGUGUUCAUCACCAUAGUAACUUACACUCCACAGCUAACCUGCUUCGGGGCAGGUUAUGUUCUAUUUUAGAGAUCGCAAACCGAAAUUUGACCAAUCAGCUUAAAGCAAAGUGACACAUCUCUGAUAAUAUAGAAUAUAAAUAAGCUUUAGAAUCAAUAUAUAAAGCUUUA
Sinocyclocheilus rhinocerous is the source of this 1579-nucleotide long non-coding RNA. RefSeq lists it as uncharacterized. The record is from RefSeq and is a predicted model, not a curated record. The transcript has 4 exons. Lineage: Eukaryota; Metazoa; Chordata; Actinopteri; Cypriniformes; Cyprinidae.